This 429-nucleotide ribosomal RNA is filed under the name Gemmatimonadota bacterium. Its description in RNAcentral is "Gemmatimonadetes bacterium partial 16S ribosomal RNA". It matches the Rfam family "Bacterial small subunit ribosomal RNA", at positions 355 to 776 of the family's 1533-position model. The record is from RNAcentral. Lineage: Bacteria; Pseudomonadati; Gemmatimonadota.
UAGGGAAUCUUCGGCAAUGGACGAAAGUCUGACCGAGCAACGCCGCGUGAGUGAAGAAGGUUUUCGGAUCGUAAAACUCUGUUGUUAGAGGAGAACAAGGACGUUAGUAACUGAACGUCCCCUGACGGUAUCUAACCAGAAAGCCACGGCUAACUACGUGCCAGCAGCCGCGGUAAUACGUAGGUGGCAAGCGUUGUCCGGAUUUAUUGGGCGUAAAGCGAGCGCAGGCGGUUUCUUAAGUCUGAUGUGAAAGCCCCCGGCUCAACCGGGGAGGGUCAUUGGAAACUGGGAGACUUGAGUGCAGAAGAGGAGAGUGGAAUUCCAUGUGUAGCGGUGAAAUGCGUAGAUAUAUGGAGGAACACCAGUGGCGAAGGCGGCUCUCUGGUCUGUAACUGACGCUGAGGCUCGAAAGCGUGGGGAGCAAACAGG